RNAcentral lists this ribosomal RNA (427 nucleotides) under uncultured Dyella sp. RNAcentral's name for it is "bacterial SSU rRNA". It matches the Rfam family "Bacterial small subunit ribosomal RNA", at positions 355 to 774 of the family's 1533-position model. Lineage: Bacteria; Pseudomonadati; Pseudomonadota; Gammaproteobacteria; Lysobacterales; Rhodanobacteraceae. The record is from RNAcentral.
UGGGGAAUAUUGGACAAUGGGCGCAAGCCUGAUCCAGCAAUGCCGCGUGUGUGAAGAAGGCCUUCGGGUUGUAAAGCACUUUUAUCAGGAGCGAAAUACUACGGGUUAAUAACCUGUGGGGCUGACGGUACCUGAGGAAUAAGCACCGGCUAACUUCGUGCCAGCAGCCGCGGUAAUACGAAGGGUGCAAGCGUUAAUCGGAAUUACUGGGCGUAAAGCGUGCGUAGGCGGUUUGUUAAGUCUGCUGUGAAAUCCCCGGGCUCAACCUGGGAAUGGCAGUGGAUACUGGCAAGCUAGAGUGUGUCAGAGGGUGGUGGAAUUCCCGGUGUAGCGGUGAAAUGCGUAGAGAUCGGGAGGAACAUCAGUGGCGAAGGCGGCCACCUGGGACAACACUGACGCUGAGGCACGAAAGCGUGGGGAGCAAACA